CUUUACUGCAGAUUCCUCAGAGCCUUUCAUAUGUUCUAGUGCCUUGUGAAUCGCCAGAGAAUUUCCCAAAUGCAUGUGACGACAGAGCUCUUUCUCUCGUAGGAGAUCGGGACCAGCUUUCGCCAGCACCGUCUUUGGGAAAUGCUGCUUGUGCAGUCCUCACCAGCCCCACCCAUCACACGGAGCAUCGGAAAACUUGGCCCCCAUGAGGAGCCCGUAGCUGAGGUUGUCCGCACAUCCUCCCCAGCGGUUCCCGGGCCCGGGUGGCUCACCUGGGACGGGGCCGCAGGAGCAGCCGGGCAGGUCGCCGGAGGUGCAGGCCCGGGCGAUGGCGUGGCUGAUGGCGGCGGCCGACAGCGCAUACACGAAGGCCGACUCCCGGGUCCCUGAGGGUGGGAGGGGAAGGUCAGCCGACGCUGAUCCAGGGCUAGGACCCUGCCCAGGUCAGAGGUCCUCCACCUUCGCCCACACCCUGCUGUAACCAAGGUGACGCCAGCAGGGGUCGGCACUAGGGCCAUUGAGAUGUCACCCCUGCUUCCCCAAUUCCUUCUGAAUAUACCAGCUGACAGCCACACUCAGGACCCCACACCCACAGGCAUGCCCUCACCCACGU
This is a long non-coding RNA of Homo sapiens (human), 613 nucleotides long. The record is from Ensembl. Lineage: Eukaryota; Metazoa; Chordata; Mammalia; Primates; Hominidae.